AUCCAGCUGACGACUCUCAAAUAGGAAGAAACGCGCGUCAAAUUGGAU
Schistosoma haematobium is the source of this 48-nucleotide non-coding RNA. The record is from Rfam. Lineage: Eukaryota; Metazoa; Platyhelminthes; Trematoda; Strigeidida; Schistosomatidae.